CCCUCUCCACCAGGCUCCGCGUCGAGGCCCUACGGGGCGUCAAUACGCACGCGUACUUUGUGUCCCAGGUAGCUCGUCUCUUAGCCAUGUACGCCUCUGCAUUCCGGUCACUGGGAGCGGGGCCGUGGGGGCUGCACAUGCGCACUGCGAGUCCUCGCCUACUCCCAGAAACCACCCGGGCGCAUACGCGGUGCGGCCGCUGCUUCAGGUCGGCGGGCUCCAGGGAGACCUGGGUGGGCAGCGUCGCCGUUUCUCCUUUCUUGGGCAGUAUUUUUCCCAGCGCCACGCGGAGGCUGGGCCAUUAUGAGCUCUGCAUUUCCAGGACCUGGUCACUAUUCAGGACACGGUUCCAGCGCAGUGCGCGUUAGCCAUGUCUCAGGGAUGAGUGACAUUCCAAGAUGUGGCCAUUGACUUCUCCAAGGAAGAGUGGGGAUUCCUGAACCCUGCUCAGAGAGAUUUGUACACAACUGUGAUGCUGGAGAAUUAUCAGAACCUGGUCUGGCUGGGACUUUCCAUUUCUAAAUCUGUGAUUUCACUGUUGGAGAAAAGGAAACUGCCUUGGAUAAUGGCAAAAGAAGAGAUAAGAGGCCCAUUGCCAGGAUAUUUCAAGGUGUCAGAGAUGACCAUCUCCCAGGAGCCAAAGGCAAAGACUAGAACUCUCUUUGGAAAAGGUUAAAUUAUUUACUACACAAUGGCUAAGAUUUAUUUUAGCAAAAGAUAUAAAACAAAAUCAGCA
This 736-nucleotide long non-coding RNA is filed under the name Homo sapiens (human). RNAcentral describes it as "non-protein coding lnc-ZNF583-4:7". The record is from RNAcentral. Lineage: Eukaryota; Metazoa; Chordata; Mammalia; Primates; Hominidae.